CUUAGGCGUGUGACUGCGUACCUUUUGUAUAAUGGGUCAGCGACUUAUAUUCUGUAGCAAGGUUAACCGAAUAGGGGAGCCGAAGGGAAACCGAGUCUUAACUGGGCGUUAAGUUGCAGGGUAUAGACCCGAAACCCGGUGAUCUAGCCAUGGGCAGGUUGAAGGUUGGGUAACACUAACUGGAGGACCGAACCGACUAAUGUUGAAAAAUUAGCGGAUGACUUGUGGCUGGGGGUGAAAGGCCAAUCAAACCGGGAGAUAGCUGGUUCUCCCCGAAAGCUAUUUAGGUAGCGCCUCGUGAAUUCAUCUCCGGGGGUAGAGCACUGUUUCGGCAAGGGGGUCAUCCCGACUUACCAACCCGAUGCAAACUGCGAAUACCGGAGAAUGUUAUCACGGGAGACACACGGCGGGUGCUAACGUCCGUCGUGAAGAGGGAAACAACCCAGACCGCCAGCUAAGGUCCCAAAGUCAUGGUUAAGUGGGAAACGAUGUGGGAAGGCCCAGACAGCCAGGAUGUUGGCUUAGAAGCAGCCAUCAUUUAAAGAAAGCGUAAUAGCUCACUGGUCGAGUCGGCCUGCGCGGAAGAUGUAACGGGGCUAAACCAUGCACCGAAGCUGCGGCAGCGACGCUUAUGCGUUGUUGGGUAGGGGAGCGUUCUGUAAGCCUGCGAAGGUGUGCUGUGAGGCAUGCUGGAGGUAUCAGAAGUGCGAAUGCUGACAUAAGUAACGAUAAAGCGGGUGAAAAGCCCGCUCGCCGGAAGACCAAGGGUUCCUGUCCAACGUUAAUCGGGGCAGGGUGAGUCGACCCCUAAGGCGAGGCCGAAAGGCGUAGUCGAUGGGAAACAGGUUAAUAUUCCUGUACUUGGUGUUACUGCGAAGGGGGGACGGAGAAGGCUAUGUUGGCCGGGCGACGGUUGUCCCGGUUUAAGCGUGUAGGCUGGU
RNAcentral lists this ribosomal RNA (941 nucleotides) under Escherichia coli. RNAcentral's name for it is "partial 23S ribosomal RNA". It matches the Rfam family "Bacterial large subunit ribosomal RNA", at positions 584 to 1529 of the family's 2925-position model. The record is from RNAcentral. Lineage: Bacteria; Pseudomonadati; Pseudomonadota; Gammaproteobacteria; Enterobacterales; Enterobacteriaceae.